GCAAUUUUAGUUUAUUAUAGAAUAGUGAUUUGUCUAGUCAUAGGUGGAUUUGUUCCAUAUUGCU
This 64-nucleotide transfer RNA is filed under the name Anoplocephala magna. Its description in RNAcentral is "tRNA-Asp". The record is from RNAcentral. Lineage: Eukaryota; Metazoa; Platyhelminthes; Cestoda; Cyclophyllidea; Anoplocephalidae.